RNAcentral lists this microRNA precursor (177 nucleotides) under Oryza brachyantha (malo sina). Its description in RNAcentral is "MIR812 microRNA precursor family". It matches the Rfam family "MIR812 microRNA precursor family", at positions 19 to 190 of the family's 205-position model. Lineage: Eukaryota; Viridiplantae; Streptophyta; Magnoliopsida; Poales; Poaceae. The record is from Rfam by way of RNAcentral.
CAUUUUUUCGUGUUCAACGUUUAACUAUUCGUCUUAUUUAAAUUUUUUUGUGAUUAAUAUUUUUAUUGUUACUAGACGAUAAAAUAUGAAUAGUAUUUUAUACGUGACUAAUUUUUUUUAAGUUUUUUAUAAAAUUUUUAAAUAAGACGAAUGGUCAAACGUUGGAUACGAAAAAAC